AGAGUUGUGGCUCAGUGGUAGAGCACUUGCCUGGCAUGUGUGAGGCACUGGGUUCAAUUCUCAGCACCACAU
RNAcentral lists this transfer RNA (72 nucleotides) under Marmota marmota marmota (Alpine marmot). It matches the Rfam family "tRNA". Rfam says of the family: Transfer RNA (tRNA) molecules are approximately 80 nucleotides in length. Their secondary structure includes four short double-helical elements and three loops (D, anti-codon, and T loops). RNAcentral also lists the same sequence under 3 other names. The record is from Rfam by way of RNAcentral. Lineage: Eukaryota; Metazoa; Chordata; Mammalia; Rodentia; Sciuridae.